AUACGUAGGGUGCAUGCGUUAUCCGGAAUUAUUGGGCGUAAAGGGCUCGUAGGCGGUUCGUCGCGUCCGGUGUGAAAGUCCAUCGCUUAACGGUGGAUCCGCGCCGGGUACGGGCGGGCUUGAGUGCGGUAGGGGAGACUGGAAUUCCCGGUGUAACGGUGGAAUGUGUAGAUAUCGGGAAGAACACCAAUGGCGAAGGCAGGUCUCUGGGCCGUUACUGACGCUGAGGAGCGAAAGCGUGGGGAGCGAACAGGAUUAGAUACCCUGGUAGUCCACGCCGUAAACGGUGGAUGCUGGAUGUGGGGCCCGUUCCACGGGUUCCGUGUCGGAGCUAACGCGUUAAGCAUCCCGCCUGGGGAGUACGGCCGCAAGGCUAAAACUCAAAGAAAUUGACGGGGGCCCGCACAAGCGGCGGAGCAUGCGGAUUAAUUCGAUGCAACGCGAAGAACCUUACCUGGGCUUGACAUGUUCCCGACGGUCGUAGAGAUACGGCUUCCCUUCGGGGCGGGUUCACAGGUGGUGCAUGGUCGUCGUCAGCUCGUGUCGUGAGAUGUUGGGUUAAGUCCCGCAACGAGCGCAACCCUCGCCCCGUGUUGCCAGCGGAUUAUGCCGGGAACUCACGGGGGACCGCCGGGGUUAACUCGGAGGAAGGUGGGGAUGACGUCAGAUCAUCAUGCCCCUUACGUCCAGGGCUUCACGCGUGCUACAAUGGCCGGUACAACGGGAUGCGACGCGGCGACGCGGAGCGGAUCCCUGAAAACCGGUCUCAGUUCGGAUCGCAGUCUGCAACUCGACUGGGUGAAGGCGGAGUCGCUAGUAAUCGCGAAUCAGCAACGUCGCGGUGAAUGCGUUCCCGGGCCUUGUACACACCGCCCGUCAAGUCAUGAAAGUGGGCAGCACCCGAAGCCGGUGGCCUAACCCCUUGUGGGAUGGAGCCGUCUAAGGUGAGGCUCGUGAUUGGGACU
RNAcentral lists this ribosomal RNA (965 nucleotides) under uncultured bacterium. RNAcentral's name for it is "bacterial SSU rRNA". It matches the Rfam family "Bacterial small subunit ribosomal RNA", at positions 523 to 1482 of the family's 1533-position model. The record is from RNAcentral.